Quercus lobata is the source of this 4923-nucleotide long non-coding RNA. RefSeq lists it as uncharacterized. NCBI's taxonomy places the organism in Eukaryota, Viridiplantae, Streptophyta, Magnoliopsida, Fagales, Fagaceae. The transcript is spliced from 16 exons. The record is from RefSeq and is a predicted model, not a curated record.
ACUUAACAAUUCUUCCAUUGCAAGAGCCACCAGAAAAUUUCUCAUUUGUCAGAGGAUAUUUUUUCCAAUGUCAAGGAUACUUCACAGAGAUGAUAGCACCCAUUUUGGCCAGCUUUGACACCUAUUUCUCCUUAGUUGGAAGCAUUAAAUUUUGAUGAUGUUGGAGCCUUUGCAGAGGAACUGUGGUAACUUUUCAUUGUCUUAGAACUGAAAUUCUGGAACAAGAACUGCUACUACCUAUCAGCAAUGCAGGAGGAGCUCCCUUUCUAUGGAAAGUUAGAUGGAAGUAUCCUGGAAUGGUUGUCAAAGCUGGAUGUUUUGUUUCUUGCUGUUUGCUUUGCAAGGGAUAUGGAAUUAGCAAGAGUGGUCCAUUGGUAGACGAUUGUUCAUAGUCCAAGUCUCCAAGAAUCAAAAUGGAGGGAAUUUAAAAUUGGUUCCAAUGAAAUUGUUUCAUCGAAAUUUGGUAACUUUUUAUCUCUUCAAGAACUGAAGUCAGGAACAAGAGUGCUACUACCUACCAGCAAAGUAGGUGGUGCACUGCCUUUCCUAGGGAAGCUAAAUGAAGAACUGAAGCUUGAAUUGGUUCCAAAUUUCCAAUCUAAUUGUUUCAUUGAAAUUCAAUCAUGCAAGAAUCCCAUAAGCCAAUGCUUGAGCAUCAUUCAACAUCUCUCUUAAAUUUCUCUCUGUUAUAGAAGAAAAAAGAGCAACAAAACGAACAUAUAUUUGAAGGCAUAAAUACGCUAUGACAAUGGCUCUACUUGACUGCAUGCAAAGAUAUGGUGACAAUACUAAAGCUUCUCCAAGGUAAUUCCAACCAUGCCAUCAUGAUUUAAGCAUCCUACAGAAACUUGUGUCUUGGUCCUGGUGGUAGAGAGGUUUCCGAAUGGUUGGCCUACCUUCUCAUCUCCUUCAUUUGGAAAGGACCAUGACCUAGAAGAAGGAAAAUGUUCAUCAUUACAAGAAAUGAGUUUCCACAAAAUUGAAGGGGAAGAUGUGCUUUCUCUAGUGAUAUCCAAGGCAAUGAGUCCAAAGAGAACUCCUGGUGAUAUGGGUGUGAUAUGAGGGAUGCUGUGACUUUGCUCCAACAUGAGGAAUUUUCCAAAUACACAACUCUGAAUGCAGUUAAAAACACAACUUCGCCCAUGCCAAUUUCCACUGACAACUGAUGCCAAGGCACUUCAGGCACUAGGGACGGCACAUCUGUUGUAUUCAGCUAGAUGAAAAUUUACAUUAUGAAGUUUUAAUCCACUCCCAAGCCAACACAAGUUUUAGUUGGUAUGUUUUCUCAAUUUACUAUUCUCUUCUAGAACAUCAAGUCAUUCGGUGUGUCUGGUGUUUUUAUUGCUUAGCUAAACAGUUUGAAAUGCCCUUCACUUGAUCCUCAUUAUUCAAAGAACUAAAAUAUUUCAAUAAGUUAAAUAUGGUUCCUCGAUAUGCAAGCACUGGGAAUGGCAUAUUGAUUCAGUUCAGAUAGAGGAAAAGUUAAUUCAUGGAGCUUCAAUCCACUACCAAGCCAGCAGAGAGGUUGAAUAUUCAACAUUGCCCCAAGUUAAAGGAAAUAUGUGCAAAAUGGAGCGUGCAGAGUGGUCUAGGAUUGUCCACACUUGAAAUAUCUUCGUUGGUGAAUGUAUUAGACAAGAAGCAGUUUGAAGAUGACAUACAUCGUGAAUACAGAUGACCAAUCUGAAGUUCAGGAACAAGAGUGCUACUACCCACUAGCAAAGCAGGUGGUGUGCUCCCUUUCUAUUGAAGCUAAAUGGAAGUUUUCUGGAGUGGUUGUCAAAGCUGUAUCUGGAAGCUUGAAUUGGUUCCAAACUUCCAAUUUAAUUGUUUCACUGAAAUUUCCAGGAAAUAGCUAUAAAGUUCAUAUAUAUGCUUAUGUGCACAAAUGCAUUUAUUCCAGAACCAAGCAAGAAUCCCAUAAGCCAAUGCUUGAGCAUCAUUCAUCUCUCUUAAAUUGCUCUCUAUUACAGGAGAUAAAAGGAGCAAAAAAAUUAACAUAUAUUUGAAGGCAUAAAUACACUACGACAGUGGCUCUACUUGACUACAUGCAAAGAAAUGGAGACAAUACUGAAUAUCCUACCAGCCCUUCUUUGAAGCUUCUCCAAGGUUCAAAGUGGUUGGCCUAGCCUUCAUUUGGAAAGGAUCAUGACCUAGAAGAAGGAACAUGUUCACCAUUACAAGAAAUGAGUUCCCAAAAAAUUAAAGGAGAAGGUCAAGAAUUUGAGACAUACUCUCAGCAUGAAGAAACAUAAUCAGGAUGUUAGCACCACACCCAUUUUGGGAUUUCAGGUUGGAUGAUGAUGAAGUUGAGAAGAUGCUGAUUUCUUUGGAGGUCCAACAUUGAAUCAAAGUUGGCUCCUGAGGGGUUCAAUCAAAGCCACCAGACAUAAUCCAAGAGCAAUACAUAAGAAUUUUGGGAAGCAUGUUUUGUCAAGCACAAUCAUUCUUAGUGUUAAAAAGAAAAACAGUAGCCUACAAGUCUUAAAAAGGACAUUAACUGAAACUGCAACUGAAAAGUUGGUAUCAGCUUUUGGUGUGGUAUCAGGAAUUCAGAGUGCUUUCCACAAACUUAUUUGACCACAACAGUUCCACAAACUUAUUCUGUCUUUGUUGCUACUGAAAGAGGAAAGCAAAUUAAUAAUGGUGAGCAAAUAUGGAUAAGGUUGUUUCAGUGAAGGAGAAUCUAAUGCAUAAACUUGAUCCCAGGGAAGAUGUGCUUUCUCUAUUGAUAUCCAAGGGAAUGAGUCCAAAGAGAACUCCUGGUGAUAUGGGUGUGGUAAGAGGGGUGCUGUGACUUUGCUCCAACAUGAGGAAUUGUCCAAAUACACAGCUAUGAGUUUAGUUAGAAACACAAAAUUUGGCUAAAGACUCACCAUCACACACUCGGAUCUCAGCCGACUUGAUGAGAACUGAUGUCGAGGUACUUCUGGUCAGCAGCCAACCAUUGGCUUUUUCUUUAUCAUUUGGGAUAUGUAUAUGUUGUUUAAUUUGUAAUUGGUGCUAUACAAGAACCCAUCCAGUAACUUAUAAAAUAGGAGUGAAAAGUUCUGUAAGUUAAGUCACUUAUAAACAUCAAAAUCAAUGGAAAAUACAUCCAAGGGGAGGAUUCUGAGGACUCUAAAGACUUUGACAAAGCUGAAGACAUCUUUGACAACUCUGACUAUGAAGACUUUGACGACUCUAAAGAUGAUAGAGAUGAUUACUUGCAAGAAGAUUCCAUCUUGGAAAAUAACCAACUUGAUGACAACUAAUGCCAAGGUACUUCAGUUUGACACCUAUUUCUCCUUAGUUGGAGGCAUUAAAUUUUGUUGAUGUUGGAGCCUUUGCAGAGGAGCUGUGGUAACUUUUCAGCGUCUUAAGAACUGAAAUUCUGGAACAAGAACUGCUACUACUUAUCAGCAAUGCAGGAGGUGUUCCCUUUCUGUGGAAAGCUAGAUAGAAGUAUCCUGGAAUGGUUGUUGAAGCCGGAUGUUUUGUUUCUUACUGGCCGCUUUGCAAGGGAUAUGAAAUCAGCAUGAGUGGUCAUUGAUAGAAGAUUGUUCAGUCCAAGAAUCGCAGUGGAGAGAAUUUAAAAUUGAUUACAAUGAAAUUGUUUCAUCGAAAUUUGGUAAUUUUUUAUCUCUUCAAGAACAGAAGUUCAGGAGCAGGAGUGCUACUACCUACCAGCAAAGCAGGUGGCCAACUCACUUUCCAUGGAAAGCUAAAUGAAGAACUGAAGCUUGAAUUGGUUCCAAAUUUCCAAUCUAAUUGUUUCAUUGAAAUUUGAGAUAAAAGGAGCAACAAAACCAACAUAUAUUUGAAGGCAUAAAUACACUGAAAAUGGCUCUACUUGACUACAUGCAAAGAAAUGGUGACAAUACUAAAAGUCCUAUCAGCCCCUCUUUGAAGCUACUCCAAGGUUCAAAGUGGUUGCCUACCUCCUCAUCUCCUACAUUUGGAAGGAUCUUCACCCAGAAAGAAUAUGUUCAUCAUUACAAGAAAUGAGUUCCCACCAAAUUGAAGACGGCCAAGAAUUUGAGACUUACUCUCAGCAUGAAGAAACAUAAUUGGGAUGCUAGCACCACACCUUCUUGGGUUGUCAAGUUGGAUGAUGAUGAAGAUGAAGAAGAUCCUGAAUUCUAUGGAGCCCCAGCAUUUGAAUCAAGGUUGGCUCCUGAGGGGUACAAGGAAACCACUAGACAUAAUCCAAGAGCAAUACAUAAGAAUUUCAGGAAGCAUGUUUUGGAAAGCACUGUCAAUCUUACUAUUAAAAAUUAAAACAGAUGCCUACAAUUCUUAAAAGGACAUUAACUGAAACUGUUAUUGAAAAUUUGGCAUCAGCUUUCACUGCGAUAUCAAAAAUUCAGAGUGAUUUCCACAAAUUUAUUCUGUCUUUGUUGCUACUGAAAGAGGAAAGCAAGAUAAUAAGGGUGAGCAAAUAUCGACAAGUUUGUUUCAGUGAAGGAGUAUCUAAUGCAUAAACUUGAGCCUAGGGAAGAUGUGCUUUCUCCAAUGAUAUCCAAGGCAAUGAGUCCAAAGAGAGCUCCUGGUGAUAUGGGUGUGGUACGAGGGAUGCUGUGACUUGCUCCAACAUGAGGAAUUUUCCCAAUACACAGCUAUGAGUUCAGUUGGAAACCAAACAUUGCCCAUGCCAAUUUCCACCAAUUUGUAUUCAGCUAAAGACUCGCCAUCACACACUCAGAUCUCAGCCAAUGCUCAUAAAUUUUUUUUUUUUUUUUUUGGGUGUCAAUUUUGAUCCUGCAUGUAUAUGGAGACAACUUAAUGAGCUUCAAUUAGUUUUUCACUCCAAUGUACCAAUACUAAAAACCAUCACCAUCAUAAAUGCAUUAUCUAAUGCUAACUAUUCUUUUGAAGUUCCAUUGUAUAGUCUUUGGUAACCAUGGGAUGCAUUUGAUAAUGGUAUGAGAUCACUUGGUCAAA